This 253-nucleotide ribosomal RNA is filed under the name uncultured bacterium. RNAcentral describes it as "partial 16S ribosomal RNA". It matches the Rfam family "Bacterial small subunit ribosomal RNA", at positions 524 to 776 of the family's 1533-position model. The record is from RNAcentral.
UACGAAGGGGGCUAGCGUUGCUCGGAAUUACUGGGCGUAAAGCGCACGUAGGCGGCUUGGCAAGUCGGAUGUGCAAUCCCUGGGCUCAACCCAGGAACUGCAUCCGAGACUGGAAGGCUAGAGUACUGGAGAGGGUGGUGGAAUUCCUCGUGUAGCGGUGAAAUGCGUAGAGAUGAGGAGGAACACCAGUGGCGAAGGCGGCCACCUGGACAGUAACUGACGCUGAGGCGCGAAAGCGUGGGUAGCAAACAGG